Molecule: ribosomal RNA, 802 nt
Filed under: uncultured bacterium
Lineage: Bacteria
Description: bacterial SSU rRNA
Rfam family: Bacterial small subunit ribosomal RNA
Source: RNAcentral
CCGGAAUUAUUGGGCGUAAAGAGCUCGUAGGCGGUUUGUCGCGUCUGUCGUGAAAGUCCGGGGCUUAACCCCGGAUCUGCGGUGGGUACGGGCAGACUAGAGUGCAGUAGGGGAGACUGGAAUUCCUGGUGUAGCGGUGGAAUGCGCAGAUAUCAGGAGGAACACCGAUGGCGAAGGCAGGUCUCUGGGCUGUAACUGACGCUGAGGAGCGAAAGCAUGGGGAGCGAACAGGAUUAGAUACCCUGGUAGUCCAUGCCGUAAACGUUGGGCACUAGGUGUGGGGACCAUUCCACGGUUUCCGCGCCGCAGCUAACGCAUUAAGUGCCCCGCCUGGGGAGUACGGCCGCAAGGCUAAAACUCAAAGGAAUUGACGGGGGCCCGCACAAGCGGCGGAGCAUGCGGAUUAAUUCGAUGCAACGCGAAGAACCUUACCAAGGCUUGACAUGUUCUCGAUCGCCGUAGAGAUACGGUUUCCCCUUUGGGGCGGGUUCACAGGUGGUGCAUGGUUGUCGUCAGCUCGUGUCGUGAGAUGUUGGGUUAAGUCCCGCAACGAGCGCAACCCUCGUUCCAUGUUGCCAGCACGUAAUGGUGGGGACUCAUGGGAGACUGCCGGGGUCAACUCGGAGGAAGGUGAGGACGACGUCAAAUCAUCAUGCCCCUUAUGUCUUGGGCUUCACGCAUGCUACAAUGGCCGGUACAAUGGGUUGCGAUACUGUGAGGUGGAGCUAAUCCCAAAAAGCCGGUCUCAGUUCGGAUUGGGGUCUGCAACUCGACCCCAUGAAGUCGGAGUCGCUAGUAAUCG